Molecule: long non-coding RNA, 3367 nt
Organism: Ziziphus jujuba (common jujube)
Lineage: Eukaryota; Viridiplantae; Streptophyta; Magnoliopsida; Rosales; Rhamnaceae
Exons: 10
Source: RefSeq, a predicted model, not a curated record
CUACCAAAACACUUAUUUUCUCUGCUUUCCCUUUUCUUUUUCUUUUUGAAACACAACAAGGCCUUCGAACACACUAGGGCUUUAUCUUUCCCUUUUGAAACAUACCGUUCAAACACAGCUAGGGCUUUACUUUCCCUUUUGAAAUAGACCAUUUGACCCUACUCACAAUUCCUUUCCUCCUAUUCAUUAUUGAGGUUGGAGAAGCAACCUCUACUUUCACAAGUCCAAACUACAAAGCUGAGGACCCAAAAAUCUUCUUCCUUUUUCCAUUGUUGAUGCUGCACAGUCCAACUUCUUGAAAUGUUAGUUUCGCUCCCUUUUUCUUUUAGCCUUUCCCUUUCGAAACACAUCAUUCGACUCUACUCACAAUUCCUUUUUCCGAUUUGUUAUUGAGGUUGAAGAAGCAACCUCUGCUUUCACAAGUCCAAACUAGGAAGCUCAGGACCCAGAAAUCUUCCUUCUUUCCCGUUGUUUAUGUUGUACAGUCUAACUUCUUCAAAUGUUAGUUUCGCUCUCUUAUUAUUAUUAUUAUUUUUUUUUUUACCUUCACUUUAACAUCUCCACCUAUUCCUUGUAAAAACUUUCAAUUUGAUUCCGCUUCUCAGCAUUGGAGGAGCAAGUAAUGGACUGAGCAGGAAAUUGAAGCAAAAAAUUUGCCAUCAUUAGAGUUACAAGUGUUUGCUGAGAAAAUUACACACACACUUACAGAGAUAGAGAAAGAGAGAGAGAGAGAGAGAAAUAAAUAAAUAGAGAAGCAUUGGUGGCAGUUUGUCCCCCAUUAAUAUAAAUGGAUUCAGAUUACCAACGAAGGUUUUGGGACUCGGAGAUAUCGAGGGCAAAGGUUAAUUGUAGAUCGAACUUCUGGAAAGCCGUGUCGGAUAUUAAGUUCAAGCUGACUCCAACACAAAUAAAGAAGUUCGAGGAUAGCCGUUUUGGCCACUUUUUUAAGGCCAACGAGAUAUAAUUUACUGGCCACAUAGUCAACAGCAUGCUGUAUAGGCAGUGUAUUUGUGAUGACAAGGAUUAUAUGGUAUUCGAUUUUGGAGGGCGUGGUGCUAGAUUUACACGGAGAGACUUCACUAUAAUUACAGGUCUACGAUUUGAUUACAAACCCAAUAGGCGGGUUAACAUCUCUACUCGUAUUAGUGACACGUAUUUUGGCGGAAAGCGAAAGGUCACUAACUCAAAGAUAACCGAAGCUUUCAUGACCGCACAGUGUCAAGACGAUGAUGAAGCCGACAAUGAUAGAUUGAAGUUGGCUUUAUUAUAUUUCCUAGAAACAGUUCUUCUAGGCAAAGAAAGCAUGGCCACGGCACCCCAUAAUCACUUGGAGAUGGUGGACGAUUAGAAGACUUCAAUAACUAUCCAUAGGGUAUUUUAUCAUAUACCACCACCAUUAGAUUGUUGAAGAGUGCUUUUGAGUAUAGAGAAUCCAUGGCUUUAAACAAGUCAAAGAGUUAUAGUGUUUGUGGAUGUCCUUUGACUUUCAUGGUCAAGCAUUUGGAAAGAAGUUGCCGGAUAUGGCAUUCCCUCAAAUUCUUAAUUGGCAUAUUUCACAAGUGCCAAGAUUUGAGAAGGCCACUGAACUCUUCGAUCCUCGUGAUUAUCCCGUUCAUGGCUUAAUGAAUGUAACUGAAUUUGAGCGUGCAUAUAUUGGAAAAAUUGCAUGGGAUGUACAUUAUGACACUACUACAUACAGUGUUGCACCUGCUGUCCGAGACAAGCCACCAAAGGGAAGUCAUGGUGAAAAAGAUGAAAGUGUUCCACUUACAAGUAGUGGAAGAAGUAAGAAACGAAAAUAGGCGUCUGUGGAAAGUAAGGGUAAAAAAGGGAGGCGGCGAAUGGGUGAUAAGCAGACAGACCAGCCUUUAUCAUCGACUGCAGGAGUUGCUGCUCGUGUUCGUGUUAAACCAUCGACUCCAUCCCAACCUCUAAUGACUCCAUCCCAUGAUGAGGUACCUUUGGAGAGAGAUUAACUAUCCUUGAAGGUGAAGUGGCUAAUGUACCGCAAGACGUUAAGGAUUUAAGAAUCGCCAUACUUAGAGAGUUUGCAAUUUUGGAGACCAAGCUUGAUAAGUUAAUGAAGCACCAAGGAGUGGGAGUUGGUGCUGACGGGUUAGGAGAUGGGAUGGAAGCGAACGUUGAAGGGGAUGAAAAUAAAGAAGAGUUUGGUCCCGAUGCGACCCCCGUUGAUAGACAGUCACGUCCAUCCAUUGUAGAUGAUGCAGGAUCAAGUGUUAAGAUUAUCGAGAAAGUAUCUCCAUCAAAGUUUCUGGCCGAGAGACAUGUAAGAAAGAUAGCAGCUGCUAACCAAAGUAUAGAUAUUGGGAGGCAGGAUAGGAAGGUAGCAGUAGCUAUUACAACUCCUUACGGUGUUGCAGGCUUGCAGAAAAAACUACAGUACACUUUACCCGGUGCAUCUUCUACUUUGAAGUUCGACCCAUACAAACCAGUACCCACGCAACUUGUAAAAAAUUUUGACCAAUUUAUGAAGUCCGGUUGGGCAGCAAAGGUUGAUAUGGACAUUUUGUCUGCGAGUAAAGACUUUUUCCAGUUGCUUAUAACCAGUGAGAAGUGGCUGAAUCACGAUCAUAUGGAAGUCCUGCCUUACUUAUUUCGUGUACGUGCCAAUCGAUUCCCUAACGUUUUUUAUCCUAGUUUUGAGGUGAUAGAUGGAGGAUUUUAGGUAUACAUUGAGCAGUGUUAUGGAAAGUUCCUCGCCAAUCCAUCUAAUUUCCAAUUCUCAUAUGCAAUGCAAGAAUAUGUAUAAGGAAUUCGAAUGAAAGAGUCAAAGCCAUGGAAAUGCUUGUUGAUUCCACUAAACAAGCGCAACAUACAUUGGCUUCUAGGGUACGUGGACUUGAAAGAGCAUCUUAUGACUGUAUAUGACUCAAAUAAGGCUGGCAACCAAAAUAGAAGAGAAAUUUAUUUCCAGAAAUUAUGCAUUUUGUUACCUUAUUUACUGCAGUCUACAUCCUUUUAUGAGCAGCGGACGGAUCUUGUAGACUCCGUUGAUGAGUUUACAUGUGAAUUGGCACAAAAUUCCCCUCAGCAAAGUAACGGUGGUGACUGUGGCGUGUUUACACUCAAGACCAUCGAGUUUUUACAUACUAGAUUACCAGUGACAUUCACAUAAGAUGACAUAGAGUUUUUUAGGAGGAAGUAUGCAUAUGAAGCUUACAACAAAGAACUAAGCAUAUGAGCUGGGUGGUGAUGCAUUUUUCUUUCCUUUUGUCAUGUUUAUAUAUGCAUAUUCUUUAUUAUAUUAGACUUUUAAUUGUAAAGAUAAUAGUGGCUUAUAAUGUUCAUUUAACAAAGAUAACGAUGUGUUAUUGAUAUAAGAAUAACUAAUUGAUCUUAUAGAAAA